RNAcentral lists this ribosomal RNA (499 nucleotides) under uncultured Oscillibacter sp. RNAcentral describes it as "partial 16S ribosomal RNA". Lineage: Bacteria; Bacillati; Bacillota; Clostridia; Eubacteriales; Oscillospiraceae. The record is from RNAcentral.
CACGUAGUUAGCCGUGGCUUAUUCAAGGGGUACCGUCUUCUGCUCUUCCCCCUUAAAAGAAGUUUACAACCCGAAAGCCUUCUUCCUUCACGCGGCGUUGCUGGGUCAGACUUGCGUCCAUUGCCCAAUAUUCCCCACUGCCGCCUCCCGUAGGAGUCUGGGCCGUAUCUCAGUCCCAAUGUGGCCGGCCAACCUCUCAGUCCGGCUACUGAUCGUCGCCUUGGUGGGCCGUUACCUCACCAACUAGCUAAUCAGACGCGAGGCCAUCUUCCAGCGAUAAAUCUUUGACAUGUCUGUGAUGCCACAGUCAUGCGUCAUGCGGUAUUAGCAGUCGUUUCCAACUGUUGUCCCCCUCUGGAAGGCAGGUUCCUCACGCGUUACUCACCAGUCCGCCACUAAGCAACUCAAUCCAUUGUCCGAAAACUCUUUCAUGAGCGCUCCGUUCGACUUGCAUGUGUUAAGCACGCCGCCAGCGUUCGUCCUGAGCCAGGAUCAAACU